This 402-nucleotide ribosomal RNA is filed under the name uncultured prokaryote. RNAcentral's name for it is "bacterial SSU rRNA". It matches the Rfam family "Bacterial small subunit ribosomal RNA", at positions 355 to 774 of the family's 1533-position model. The record is from RNAcentral.
UAGGGAAUAUUAGUAAUGGGCGAAAGCCUGAACUAGCAACACCGCGUGUGCGAAGAAGGCCUUCGGAUUGUAAAGCACUUUUUGAGAGGAUGAGGAAGGACGGUACUCUCAGCAUAAGUCUCGGCUAACUACGUGCCAGCAGCCGCGGUAACACGUAGGAGGCAAACGUUAUCCGGAUUUACUGGGCGUAAAGCGCGUGUAGGUGGUUUGGUAAGUAGAGCGUGAAAGCUCCUGGCUCAACUGGGAGAGGUCGUUCUAAACUGCCGGACUAGAGGAUGGUAGAGGGAGGUGGAAUUCCGGGUGUAGCGGUGGAAUGCGCAGAUAUCCGGAGGAACGCCAGUGGCGAAAGCGGCCUCCUGGACCACUCCUGACACUCAGACGCGAAAGCUAGGGUAGCAAACG